RNAcentral lists this microRNA precursor (76 nucleotides) under Cricetulus griseus (Chinese hamster). Its description in RNAcentral is "mir-879". The record is from RNAcentral. Lineage: Eukaryota; Metazoa; Chordata; Mammalia; Rodentia; Cricetidae.
GCCUCCAGCUUAGAAAGCGUGGAGCUGUAAACCUCUCAUCUUUGAGGCUUAGUGCUUUAAGCUCCUGGAUUUGGAA